UAACCGCAAGGAGCCAGCCGUCGAAGGUGGGGGCGAUGAUUGGGGUGAAGUCGUAACAAGGUAGCCGUAUCGGAAGGUGCGGCUGGAUCACCUCCUUUCUAGGGA
This 105-nucleotide ribosomal RNA is filed under the name Megasphaera cerevisiae. RNAcentral's name for it is "partial 16S ribosomal RNA". It matches the Rfam family "Bacterial small subunit ribosomal RNA", at positions 1436 to 1533 of the family's 1533-position model. Lineage: Bacteria; Bacillati; Bacillota; Negativicutes; Veillonellales; Veillonellaceae. The record is from RNAcentral.